Long non-coding RNA from Ruditapes philippinarum (Manila clam), 1957 nucleotides. RefSeq lists it as uncharacterized. NCBI's taxonomy places the organism in Eukaryota, Metazoa, Mollusca, Bivalvia, Venerida, Veneridae. The record is from RefSeq and is a predicted model, not a curated record. The transcript has 5 exons.
GCGACCCAAAGUUAUAAGCUACAUCUGAAGCUUACUGCAAACCGAAUUUCGGCUGAAAUAUACAUGCACGUAGUAAAUAGUUCCGUAUGGUCGGUAACAAGUUAGAAAAUCCGUACCUUCAUUCAUUACAGGAGGGUUAUCAUACAUUUUGAAAUGUAUCAUGAUGUCGAAAAUUACAGUAAAUUUGUGCUGUGUACAGAAAAAAUAUCAAUGCGCGAUUGACUCACGUGACAGGUCAUUGAGGUCAGCCGUGUAGAUUCGACUUUCGUCAGUACGUUAAUUGAUACAGACAUCCAGGAUAUUUUGAAGAAAUUGUGUGUGAUAUAACAAACUGUUGUGUGAGGUUUUUAAUUUGACAUGGUCAAGACAUACUAUGAUAGUAUUGUUCAGUAUUACUUCUGUCAUGUUACUGUUUGAUAACAGUUAAGGUACAGUAGGUUCAGACAAGUUAUAUACAUGUAUACAGGACAAGACAGCUCAAACUGGCAGUUUGUUAUAGCAAAAAGUGAUGAAGUUUCAGCCUAGAAGUCUUCAUGAUGAUGAUGGUGAUGAUCCUAGUUAUAGAUUCUUUGUAAUUAUCUGUAAGGAAGGGGUUUCUGCUGCAGAGAAGAAAAAAAUUCAUGCAGUAAGAAGUUGCCCACUCUGUUCAAAUGAAGCUGUCUGAAGUACCCAGUAGACAAUGUACUAUUUCUGGAACAACUUAAUUGAAGUGAAGCUUACUAUGUGAAGGAGUUAUUUCUGUAUUCAAAAGGAAACUUCAGCAUACAGAAUACCAAUUGAGAUAUUUGUAGCUUCAGUUAUGGGAGAACAUAAGAUUAAUUGAACUGGAAUCCCUUCAGACGUUGACAUAGCUAAAUUCCACAGUUUCAACUAUAAAUGGACAUUGAAUAAUUAUACAUUGGUUUUAUUUUAUACAUGUAUCUGUUAAUAUUUUUGUUUUCAAAUAUUUCCCAAUAUUGUUAAUUUUGGAUAAUAUAAUGCCACAGAAAACUUGUCGGUCUUGGAGUAUGGCUGUUUAACAAAAACACUGCAGAUUGUUCAUCAGAACAAUGAAAUUACAGUUUUGCUCAUUAAUGAACUAAUUUACAUAAAUAUAUAAUUUUUGUAAGCAUGAAGAAAUUUGGAACAUAUCAUAUAAUGGAUAUUUGUUUCUUUUGCAUGCAAGAUCCAAAUAUAUUUCAUAGAGUGAACAGCAGAUUAAAUAUUUUCAUGAAUGGCAUUGAAAAACAUAUAUUAUGUAUUAGUAUAACUUUGCCACAAUGUUGGUAAAUGGAGGCUGCUAUUUUACUGUGACUGAAAGUAGUUCAGAUAUGACGCCUUAUGAUGUCCGAGGUUUAUAGCCCAUCAUACAAGCCAAAGAGAGCAGAUUUUUUUUCUGUGUAGAUUCAUUAAUUUUCAAUGUUCAUAACUGAAAGUGAUUCUGUCAUAUUUCCUGAAUUUGUUUAAUUUCCUUCCUGAUUUGCAAAUAUUAAUUAUCUACUCUUUAUUUAUCACAUUUUUCUGAGAAAUAAAUGUUUUUCCCACAAAAUUUCUGUUUGUUUAUAGGCUUUUCAUCCUCAUUCAAAUAAAGUCUGGCUACUUUUGAAAUUAUACUUUAUUGUGAAAUAAUCUAAAAGUAAUGUCAUUUUUUUUCUGAAAAGCAUGUUAUAAGUUAUGGUGUUCAAUUGAUUUCUGAAGGACAACUUAUGAAGGAAAUGAAGUGUGUUGAUACUUGCCAUGUUAGUAUCAAAAGACAGAUUUAGUUCAAUUUUGGUCACAAUAAAUUAUUUUUGAUGCAGUUAUGCCUCUUUUUAGCUCGACUUUUUCUUUUUAAAAAAUAGAGGUAUCGUAACAGUCAUGUUGGCAUUGCCGAGGUUAUCCACAAACUUGUAUUUUGAUCAUUACUUUUUAGCUCACCUGAGCACAAUGCUCAUGGUGAACUAUUGUGAUCCUCCACCAUCAGUUGUCGUGGGUCGUC